AUCUUGCACAAUGGGGGAAACCCUGAUGCAGCGACGCCGCGUGAGCGAUGAAGCCCUUCGGGGUGUAAAGCUCUUUCGGCAGGAACGAUAAUGACGGUACCUGCAGAAGAAGCUGCGGCUAACUACGUGCCAGCAGCCGCGGGAAUACGUAGGCAGCAAGCGUUGUUCGGAAUUACUGGGCGUAAAGAGUGUGUAGGUGGUGUCGUAAGUUUGGUGUGAAAUCUCCCGGCUUAACUGGGAGGGUGCGCCGAAGACUGCGAUGCUGGAGUAUGGGAGAGGAAAGCGGAAUUCCUGGUGUAGCGGUGAAAUGCGUAGAUAUCAGGAGGAACACCUGCGGUGUAGACGGCUUUCUGGACCAUUACUGACACUGAGACACGAAAGCGUGGGUAGCGAACAG
This 397-nucleotide ribosomal RNA is filed under the name uncultured bacterium. RNAcentral's name for it is "bacterial SSU rRNA". It matches the Rfam family "Bacterial small subunit ribosomal RNA", at positions 361 to 775 of the family's 1533-position model. The record is from RNAcentral.